AUUGAACGCUGGCAGCAUGCCUUACACAUGCAAGUCGAACGGUAACAGGUCUUCGGAUGCUGACGAGUGGCGAACGGGUGAGUAAUACAUCGGAACGUGCCUAGUAGUGGGGGAUAACUACUCGAAAGAGUGGCUAAUACCGCAUGAGAUCUACGGAUGAAAGCAGGGGAUCGCAAGACCUUGUGCUACUAGAGCGGCCGAUGGCAGAUUAGGUAGUUGGUGGGAUAAAAGCUUACCAAGCCGACGGUCUGUAGCUGGUCUGAGAGGACGAUCAGCCACACUGGGACUGAGACACGGCCCAGACUCCUACGGGAGGCAGCAGUGGGGAAUUUUGGACAAUGGGCGCAAGCCUGAUCCAGCAAUGCCGCGUGCAGGAUGAAGGCCUCCGGGUUGUAAACUGCUUUUGUACGGAACGAAAAGCCCCGGGUUAAUACCCUGGGGUCAUGACGGUACCGUAAGAAUAAGCACCGGCUAACUACGUGCCAGCCGCCGCCGUAA
This 498-nucleotide ribosomal RNA is filed under the name uncultured bacterium. RNAcentral describes it as "partial 16S ribosomal RNA". It matches the Rfam family "Bacterial small subunit ribosomal RNA", at positions 30 to 523 of the family's 1533-position model. The record is from RNAcentral.